GACGUCUACGAGUUUGAUCAUGGCUCAGAUUGAACGCUGGCGGCAUGCCUAACACAUGCAAGUCGAACGGCAGCACGGGAGCUUGCUCCUGGCGGCGACCGGCGCACGGGUGCGUAACACGUAUGGAACUUACCCUUUACUGGGAGAUAGCCCGGAGAAAUCCGGAUUAAUAUCCCAUAAUAAACGAAGUGGCAUCACUUUGUUUUGAAAGCUCCGGCGGUAAAGGAUGGCCAUGCGCACGAUUAGCUAGUAGGUGAGGUAACGGCUCACCUAGGCUACGAUCGUUAGGGGGCCUGAGAGGGUUAUCCCCCACACUGGUACUGAGACACGGACCAGACUCCUACGGGAGGCAGCAGUGAGGAAUAUUGCGCAAUGGAGGCAACUCUGACGCAGCCAUGCCGCGUGCAGGAAGAAGGCGCUACGCGUUGUAAACUGCUUUUAACCGGGAAGAAACCCUCCGACGUGUCGGAGGUUGACGGUACCGGAGGAAUAAGCACCGGCUAACUUCGUG
RNAcentral lists this ribosomal RNA (511 nucleotides) under uncultured bacterium. RNAcentral describes it as "bacterial SSU rRNA". It matches the Rfam family "Bacterial small subunit ribosomal RNA", at positions 1 to 507 of the family's 1533-position model. The record is from RNAcentral.